UACAGAGGUCCCAAGCGUUGUUCGGAUUCACUGGGCGUAAAGGGUGCGUAGGCGGUCGGGUAAGUCUGAUGUGAAAUCUCACAGCUUAACUGUGAAACUGCAUUGGAUACUAUCCGGCUCGAGGAAUGGAGGGGAGACUGGAAUACUUGGUGUAGCAGUGAAAUGCGUAGAUAUCAGGUGGAACACCAGUGGCGAAGGCGAGUCUCUGGACAUUUCCUGACGCUGAGGCACGAAAGCCAGGGGAGCGAACGG
RNAcentral lists this ribosomal RNA (252 nucleotides) under uncultured bacterium. RNAcentral's name for it is "partial 16S ribosomal RNA". It matches the Rfam family "Bacterial small subunit ribosomal RNA", at positions 524 to 775 of the family's 1533-position model. The record is from RNAcentral.